This 750-nucleotide ribosomal RNA is filed under the name uncultured organism. RNAcentral's name for it is "bacterial SSU rRNA". It matches the Rfam family "Bacterial small subunit ribosomal RNA", at positions 462 to 1228 of the family's 1533-position model. The record is from RNAcentral.
AUGCGGUAUGACGGUACCCUUUCGAAUAAGAGGUUGCUAACUCUGUGCCAGCAGCAGCGGUAAUACAGAGACCUCGAGCGUUAUCCGGAUUUACUGGGCGUAAAGCGUCUGUAGGGGGUUUGUUAAGUUCCAAGUAAAAUCUUAAGGCUCAACUUUAAGUUCGCUUGGAAAACUAAUAAACUGGAGUCCAGCAGAGGUGCAUGGAACUUGCGGUGUAGGAGUGAAAUCCGUUGAUAUCGCAAGGAACACCAAAGGCGAAGGCAUUGCACUGGGCUGGUACUGACCCUGAGAGACGAAAGCGUGGGGAGCAAAACGGAUUAGAUACCCGUGUAGUCCACGCCGUAAACGAUGGAUACUAGAUGUUCGGGAUUCGACCCCCUGGGUGUCACAGCUAACGCGUUAAGUAUCCCGCCUGGGAAGUACGGCCCGCAAGGCUAAAACUCAAAGGAAUAGACGGGGAUCCGCACAAGCGGUGGAGCGUCUGGUUUAAUUUGAUAGUAAGCAAUGGACCUCACCAAGGUUUGACAUCCUAUGACAACCCUGGAAACAGGGCUUCCUUCGGGCAUAGUGACAGGUGCUGCAUGGUCGUCGUCAGUUCGUGCCGUGAGGUGUUCCGUUAAGUCGGGAAACGAACGAAACCCUCGUCGCAUGUUACAAAUUUCAUGCGAGACUGCCCGGGUCAACCGGGAGGAAGGCGGGGAUGACGUCAGAUCAGCAUGGCCCUUAUACCUUGGGCUACACAGGCGCUAC